Molecule: ribosomal RNA, 468 nt
Filed under: uncultured bacterium
Lineage: Bacteria
Description: partial 16S ribosomal RNA
Rfam family: Bacterial small subunit ribosomal RNA
Source: RNAcentral
GACGAACGCUGGCGGCGUGCUUAACACAUGCAAGUCGAACGGUGAAGCUCCAGCUUGCUGGAGUGGAUCAGUGGCGAACGGGUGAGUAACACGUGAGCAACCUGCCCCUGACUCUGGAAUAAGCGCUGGAAACGGCGUCUAAUACUGGAUACGAGAAGGGCCCGCAUGGGCACUUUCUGGAAAGUUUUUCGGUUGGGGAUGGGCUCGCGGCCUAUCAGCUUGUUGGUGAGGUAAUGGCUCACCAAGGCGACAACGGGUAGCCGGCCUGAGAGGGCGACCGGCCACACUGGGACUGAGACACGGCCCAGACUCCUACGGGAGGCAGCAGUGGGGAAUAUUGCACAAUGGGCGAAAGCCUGAUGCAGCGACGCCGCGUGAGGGAUGACGGCCUUCGGGUUGUGAACCUCUUUCAGCAGGGAAGAAGCGAAAGUGACGGUACCUGCAGAAGAAGCACCGGCUAACUACGUG